UACGGGGGGAGCAAGCGUUGUUCGGAUUUACUGGGCGUAAAGGGCGCGUAGGCGGCCAGCACAAGUCAGUUGUGAAAUCUCCGAGCUUAACUCGGAAAGGUCAACUGAUACUGUGCGGCUAGAGUGCGGAAGGGGCAACUGGAAUUCUUGGUGUAGCGGUGAAAUGCGUAGAUAUCAAGAGGAACACCUGCGGCGAAGGCGGAUUGCUGGGCCGACACUGACGCUGAGGCGCGAAAGCCAGGGGAGCGAACGGG
This 254-nucleotide ribosomal RNA is filed under the name uncultured bacterium. Its description in RNAcentral is "partial 16S ribosomal RNA". It matches the Rfam family "Bacterial small subunit ribosomal RNA", at positions 524 to 776 of the family's 1533-position model. The record is from RNAcentral.